Molecule: long non-coding RNA, 268 nt
Filed under: Pan troglodytes (chimpanzee)
Lineage: Eukaryota; Metazoa; Chordata; Mammalia; Primates; Hominidae
Description: long non-coding RNA NONPTRT015627
Source: RNAcentral
GCAUUGCGGGGCUCGCUAGUGGGGCGUUGGCCUUCCUUAGGAGUGUGAGUCUGGCGUCAUCCCUUUUUUCCCGGCUGGGUCCCGGGAUACCCCACCAGCCCGACCUCAACCCACUCGCGUCCACAGCACGAGCCCCAGCGGCCUUGCGCGGUGCUUGCUCUCUAGUAGCGGCUGACUAGGUUAGUUCACUGAUUGAGAAGCGUUUUGCAGGACUCAUGCCCUGAGACCUUUCUGGUUGCAGAGAGUGGCCAUGGAGGCCUCCUGUCUC